Long non-coding RNA from Phycodurus eques (leafy seadragon), 769 nucleotides. RefSeq lists it as uncharacterized. NCBI's taxonomy places the organism in Eukaryota, Metazoa, Chordata, Actinopteri, Syngnathiformes, Syngnathidae. The transcript has 3 exons. The record is from RefSeq and is a predicted model, not a curated record.
CGAGGACACACGCAGCCUCUCGCAAAUAGUGAUUAUUAUAGUUUCUUGGCCGGAUUAUGUAACUCUGGUUAGCAACAAAAGUUAAAAAGAAGGAAGCGAACAGCUCUCUCUCUCUCUCUCUCUCUCUCUCUCUCUCUCUCUCUCUCGAGACAAUCAUGUCUGAGCUGUGAUGUCAAUAUGGCUGAGCUUGGAAAACCACCGCGUACGUCACGUCACUGUUCUGAGUCAUUGGAUCUAAGACAAGAGCAUGCAAAAUCCUCUUGAACCCUCCACAUCCUGGUGACCACCUCUUCCAGCUCCUUCCCUCAGGAGAAGUUGAGUGUCCUGCCAUUUCUGCCAGGCCUUCACACGCUGCUCGAACACGGCCUGCAUACACAUACAUCAUAUAAUCAUCCAUGUAUUAUAUGUCAUACAGUGGCCCCCUGCUAUAUUGUGGAUAAUUGUUCGCGUCCCCACUAUAUCGCAUUUUUACAGAUAAGUCUGAAUUUGGAGUUGCACCUCUUCUGUGUACAGGGGUUGAGACUGCAACCUUUUUUUCAGCUUGUGCGAUUACAAAUUUCAUCUUGUCGUAUUUGCGCGAGUGCAUGUUUUAUUUGUUGAAAGUUGCCUUUUUUCCACUGCAAUCUCCUCUCUGGAGGAGAAGAUUGAGGGAGAUUGAAUGAAAGAGAGCGAGAGAGAGAGAGAAAUUAAGUGCUUCUCCCAGGGGAAGAGGGUUAGGAGCCGUCAGUAUAAAAAGUGGCCCCUCUCAGUUGAACAGAUGAUCCAAUAA